This 449-nucleotide ribosomal RNA is filed under the name uncultured bacterium. Its description in RNAcentral is "partial 16S ribosomal RNA". It matches the Rfam family "Bacterial small subunit ribosomal RNA", at positions 29 to 523 of the family's 1533-position model. The record is from RNAcentral.
AACGAACGCUGGCGGCAUGCCUAACACAUGCAAGUCGAACGAAGCCUUCGGGCUUAGUGGCGCACGGGUGCGUAAUGCGCGGGACUCUGCCCUUUGGUUCGGAAUAACAGUUGCAAACGACUGCUAAUACCGUACGAUGACGAUAGUCCAAAGGAUUAUCGCCAGAGGAUGAGCCCGCGUAGGAUUAGCUAGUUGGUGUGGUAAAGGCGCACCAAGGCGACGAUCCUUAGCUGGGCUGAGAGGAUGAUCAGCCACACUGGGACGGAGACACGGCCCAGACUCCUACGGGAGGCAGCAGUGGGGGAUAUUGGACAAUGGGCGAAAGCCUGAUCCAGCAAUGCCGCGUGAGUGAUGAAGGCCCUAGGGUUGUAAAGCUCUUUUACCCGGGAUGAUAAUGACAGUACCGGGAGAGUAAGCCCCGGCUAACUCCGUGCCAGCCGCCGCGGUAA